Cryptosporangium arvum DSM 44712 is the source of this 58-nucleotide regulatory RNA element. It matches the Rfam family "msiK RNA". NCBI's taxonomy places the organism in Bacteria, Bacillati, Actinomycetota, Actinomycetes, Cryptosporangiales, Cryptosporangiaceae. The record is from Rfam.
GCGCAGCCCUCACCACUCGGAUCGUCCGGCACGUUCCUGCCGGUGGAAAGGACUGCAU